Small nucleolar RNA from Microtus ochrogaster (prairie vole), 70 nucleotides. RefSeq annotates it as small nucleolar RNA SNORD113/SNORD114 family. The record is from RefSeq and is a predicted model, not a curated record. Lineage: Eukaryota; Metazoa; Chordata; Mammalia; Rodentia; Cricetidae.
UGGAUCAAUGAUGAACAACUCUGAUAUGAGCCGUGGAUCAUGAGUACGGGCCUAAGGUUCUGAGUUCCAC